Molecule: RNA transcript, 1980 nt
Organism: Triticum dicoccoides
Lineage: Eukaryota; Viridiplantae; Streptophyta; Magnoliopsida; Poales; Poaceae
Exons: 6
Source: RefSeq, a predicted model, not a curated record
UCCAUCUGUGUGCUGGUGAACAAGUUAAUUAAGAUCUAAAUGUGUUGUCCCAGAUCCAGAUGGGUUGGUUUUGAGUUAUUGUUUGGGUUAGAAAAUUUUCAAACCAUGCAUCUGUUAACAUUUAGAGAAAACUACAUGUGUUUAUUUUGGGUUGUAGUUCAGAGAGCACUUCCAUGUUGCCGUGAAUGCUGGGUGCUGUUCUGACAUGCUUAUUUGUCUCAUUUUGCUUUGUUCUUUUUUACUUAUAUGGUGAUCUCCUUUUUCCUUAUGUUAGCAGUGAGUUGUUUCUGUUUUUCUGGUUUUCCAUUGCUCCUAAAAUGUACAUCGAAAUCAGUGUGGCUGUAUUCAGAGAGAUGAGCUACUAUGUAGACAUUAUUUGUUUUUGUUAUGUACUUGGUUACUUAAUAAUCAUUCUUGAUAUUGAAAAGGGACAGAAAUAAGCUGAGUAUUGGACCUGACUGAGUAGUGUUUGCUGGUUAACACAUCUAUGUUACUGGACUUGUUCUUUUUUCUUCCCACGGUUUGUCAUCUAAAAUGAAUUAACCUCGGAAGAGGAUUACUCUUCCUCGUUCUGGGCUAGGAAUUCGUUGCUAUGUGAUGCAUCGUUUGGUCCUACUCCAGUGUUGUUUUGCCUUCUUUGACUCAGCUCAUGUUGCGUUUGGCUUGGAGACUACUGAAAUGAAAAUGUGUUGGGGCGAUUAUGUGUUGCAGAUAUUAAUAGCACAUGCUCUUUUGAGGGAAAUGGGGAUGGCACUAUAUUUUGGUCUUCUGCCCAGAAAUCUUUAGACAUUACUCUGUUCCAUACACUAAGAAGUUUGAAGCGUGCUGGUUGCCACUCACGCUGCUGCUCUGCUUGGAGGCGUCGUCGUCGACUGGAGGAGCGCCGAAUCGUUGUCCUCGAGUUCGUGCACUUCAGGAAGAACACGGCUCGAGGUGAGACGUCACGCAUCCGUCGUGCGGAGGUAGAGCAGCUCUAGAGGGACCAAGGUCGAGGUAGACACUGCUCCUAUCGAGGCUAGCCUGCCGUAGGGACGAAUCAGGUCCCUAGACCCUUAUGAGCCCUAAUUUUCAUGGAGCAAGGUGCAUCUUGCCGCUUUUGCUUUUGGUAAAAAGGAAUCCCUAUUGUUAUGUUGGUAGCCUCUUUGCAAGUUUAUUCUGCCUUUUUGACAUUUUUUGUUCUAUCUUGCUAUGCAUUGUAUCAUAUUACAGUUGUGUGCUCAAACCAACUGAGCUUAAUUCACAUAUAUAGAUAUUUAAGAAUGUGGGGAUGAUGCCCAAUUGGCAAGGUUUGCAAUAUUGUAGGAACCAUUUGGAGAUGGGUUGUAGAUAUUAAGCUAUGUAGGAGAUGAUUUUGAGUAAAUGAAGCCCAUAGGUGGAGGGAUUUGGAUGAUCUGUAGUCAAAGGAUACCAUCAAGCAAGCGGACGCACAAGGAGGGUCGCCCCGGAGUAGAGGUAGAGGACGUUGCCAGCUGCAUCUCUCUCUGACCUAAAGCCCACCUUGGCAUGGAUGUGAUCAGCGUUGAUCCCCAACAUUGGCAAGCAUUUGUGUUCAAGUUGAUCUGGAACAAUUUGAAGGGUUUCCUCGACACAAAAUCUUAAGCCAAGGUUUACUUAAGCACCUCGAAUUAAACGUAUAGAAGUUUAAAAUUGUAAUGUUUCAGGUUCUUUGCCACAUUAUGUAUGUUUUGUUAUUUUUUUAAUAAUUGGACCUAUUUGCUAUGUGGAACAUGUAGCAUUUACUUGAUCAUAAUCUAAUUCAAUUUUUGACCACCGUCUUUUUGGCUCUUGGUUUCAACAUUUGCAGUAUCGGUUAGUCAUUGUCUUGACACGACAUUUUAUGCAACGACUCCAACUUCUUGAGCCAUUCUCUAUAUAUGAAUGAGCCUCGCCGUUAAAUAAACGAACAAUGUUUCCUCCAUAUAUGAAUGACACAAUGACACUAUGGAUUUUCCAGUCAACUGAUCAUCCUAAUCCUCAUCC